AGAUGUAGGGGUGAUCUGGCUGUGAAAUCCGUAACCUCAUUGAUGGCCAGGGUGUAUUUGUCUGAUCUGGCUGGUUGGGUGGGUGUCCCCUUCUUCCCUCACUGCUAUAUGACUCCCUCCCAGAGCUGUGCACUAGGUCAAAGAGAAUGAAUUCCCUGAUAGAGAUGCACAUUCAUCAGUCAACAGCAUACAGUAACUGUGCUCCCCUGCUAGAACCUCCAAGCAAGUUCUGUAAUUCUGUGAGAUAAAUCUUUUCUGAAUAGAUGGAAGAGUUGAAAUUCCUCCUGAGAAAACUGAUUCAGUGCAGUUGCUUCCUGAAUU
RNAcentral lists this small nuclear RNA (321 nucleotides) under Meleagris gallopavo (turkey). RNAcentral's name for it is "7SK RNA". It matches the Rfam family "7SK RNA". Rfam says of the family: 7SK was discovered as an abundant small nuclear RNA in the mid-70s but a possible function has only recently been suggested. Lineage: Eukaryota; Metazoa; Chordata; Aves; Galliformes; Phasianidae. The record is from Rfam by way of RNAcentral.